GUUGCCAAAAAAUGAAUCGUCAAAAUCUACAAUUAUCGCCGGCAUCCAACCAUGCUUUCCUAAAAUUCAUCAUCGCCGAAGCAAAUUAAACAACCUCCGAUAAAAUCACAACCCAGAUCAGGAUUAUAGAAAGGAUAAACAAUAACAUAUAUAAAUCCGAAAAAUCGGUAACACGGUUAACAUCACAGACCAAUCACCCAAAGCACCAAAUCAGACGAAUCAAAAAUCGAACAUUUUUUCCAAAUCAUACUAAAAUGGAAUAAACAGCCAAAAUCAGAUGAGAAAGCUGCACAAACCCAAAUCCAAGGGGGAAACAGUUACUAACCCAUAAUCCGACCAGUCAAAAAACAUGAAUCGUAGCUUAAAUGAUUUUCGAUGAACAUUGACAGACCGGAAACUAAAAAAGGUAUCUGUACUGACGAAUAAAACAAUGAUCCCGAUCGAAAUAUGAAAUAAAUUAAACAAGAACUCAAAUCGGAAGGGGACCCAAAAUCAAUACCCACAAGGAACUUAGGAAAGAGAACCCCGGAUUCCGACGAGCAUGAACAUAGCAGUGGAAAUCACAACAGAUAAAUAAUACUAAAUCUUAGAUCUCGCAACCACAAGUAAAAGAAAAUACUCAAAUCAGAUUAAUGGACAAGAUAAUCAUUAAAAACACAUUAACCAAAUACGGAGCAUCACCGUCUUCUAUAGGACCUAAAUCCUAGAAUCCGACAAGGCCAAUUCGAUAACUGAUAUAGGAAGCAUCAUAUCCGAAAAGAACAAUCAAAGCUAAAAAACCAACAUCAAGAAUACAAAACUCUUUAGGAACCCACUAAUCCGGAGCCAUAUUCCAACAGGAAUCCUCAAAACAAGAUCAAAGUAUAAUGCUCAAACGCCCAGGGCUACCCCCUACUAGGCUAAUCGGAGAAGACAACAACCAUUAAACCCUCAGACUUGGCCACAGAUCGGUUGAAAAAGAUAGAUUGUUG
RNAcentral lists this long non-coding RNA (971 nucleotides) under Panax ginseng (ginseng). RNAcentral's name for it is "long non-coding RNA (PGIN_LNC011122)". The record is from RNAcentral. Lineage: Eukaryota; Viridiplantae; Streptophyta; Magnoliopsida; Apiales; Araliaceae.